This 394-nucleotide ribosomal RNA is filed under the name uncultured Sphingomonas sp. RNAcentral describes it as "bacterial SSU rRNA". It matches the Rfam family "Bacterial small subunit ribosomal RNA", at positions 360 to 771 of the family's 1533-position model. The record is from RNAcentral. Lineage: Bacteria; Pseudomonadati; Pseudomonadota; Alphaproteobacteria; Sphingomonadales; Sphingomonadaceae.
AAUAUUGGACAAUGGGCGAAAGCCUGAUCCAGCAAUGCCGCGUGAGUGAUGAAGGCCUUAGGGUUGUAAAGCUCUUUUACCCGGGAUGAUAAUGACAGUACCGGGAGAAUAAGCUCCGGCUAACUCCGUGCCAGCAGCCGCGGUAAUACGGAGGGAGCUAGCGUUGUUCGGAAUUACUGGGCGUAAAGCGCACGUAGGCGGCUUUGUAAGUUAGAGGUGAAAGCCUGGAGCUCAACUCCAGAACUGCCUUUAAGACUGCAUCGCUUGAAUCCAGGAGAGGUGAGUGGAAUUCCGAGUGUAGAGGUGAAAUUCGUAGAUAUUCGGAAGAACACCAGUGGCGAAGGCGGCUCACUGGACUGGUAUUGACGCUGAGGUGCGAAAGCGUGGGGAGCAA